Molecule: ribosomal RNA, 260 nt
Filed under: uncultured bacterium
Lineage: Bacteria
Description: partial 16S ribosomal RNA
Rfam family: Bacterial small subunit ribosomal RNA
Source: RNAcentral
UACGUAGGGUGCGAGCGUUAAUCGGAAUUACUGGGCGUAAAGCGUGCGCAGGCGGUUUUGUAAGCCAGAUGUGAAAUCCCCGGGCUUAACCUGGGAAUGGCAUUUGGGACUGCAAGGCUGGAGUGCGGCAGAGGAGACUGGAAUUCCUGGUGUAGCAGUGAAAUGCGUAGAUAUCAGGAGGAACACCGAUGGCGAAGGCAGGUCUCUGGGCUGACACUGACGCUCAUGCACGAAAGCGUGGGGAGCAAACAGGAUUAGAA